AAGUUUAGUAGGGAGCACAUAUAAUAAACUGAAACAGUACAGAGAAGAUUCGCCUGGCCCCUGCACAAGGAGGACAAGCAGAUUAUUUAAGGAUUUUUUUUUUUA
Bison bison bison is the source of this 105-nucleotide small nuclear RNA. The record is from Ensembl. NCBI's taxonomy places the organism in Eukaryota, Metazoa, Chordata, Mammalia, Artiodactyla, Bovidae.